GACUAACGCUGGCGGCGUGCCUAAUACAUGCAAGUCGAACGGGAUUCUUUGAUCAGCUUGCUGAGAGAAGGAUCUAGUGGCGGACGGGUGAGUAACGCGUGGGAAUCUGCCUCUUACUGGGGGAUAACAGUGGGAAACUACUGCUAAUACCGCAUAAGAUCUUCGGAUGAAAGGUGCAACUGCACCGGUAAGAGAUGAGCCCGCGUCCCAUUAGCUAGUUGGUGAGGUAAAGGCUCACCAAGGCGACGAUGGGUAGCCGGCCUGAGAGGGUGAACGGCCACACUGGGACUGAGACACGGCCCAGACUCCUACGGGAGGCAGCAGUAGGGAAUCUUCCGCAAUGGGCGCAAGCCUGACGGAGCGACGCCGCGUGAGGAGAAGCUAGGUCGUAACGUCGUAGUCCUGGGUAGUAGUAGGUAGAGUAACCGAACGAGGAAGCCGUAAGCCUACGUACGUAGUCGACGCGACGUCCGACGGGUAAGUAAAGGUAACCUCCGGUACUUACUACGUAGGCC
RNAcentral lists this ribosomal RNA (515 nucleotides) under uncultured bacterium. RNAcentral describes it as "bacterial SSU rRNA". It matches the Rfam family "Bacterial small subunit ribosomal RNA", at positions 28 to 536 of the family's 1533-position model. The record is from RNAcentral.